RNAcentral lists this unclassified non-coding RNA (276 nucleotides) under Hevea brasiliensis (rubber tree). The record is from RNAcentral. Lineage: Eukaryota; Viridiplantae; Streptophyta; Magnoliopsida; Malpighiales; Euphorbiaceae.
AAUGUUAUUAGAGGUUCCAACAGGUUUAAUUUGCUAUAUAUACCCUAUGGGCAGUUCUUAUAUGUUUCAUUUUUCUUGUUUAUCCUGCACAAAGAACAGUUUGAGAUUGAGAACUUGGGAAUCAUCCUUUUUUAUAGUUAAUUAAUUAAGGCAUAGUUCAAUUGUGGUUUGUACUUUGUAAUGAAAUUUCAAUGUGUUUUGUAUACCAAUAGACGUAUUUAUCUUGGAUUUGAGUACAACUGGCUCACCAAUUUUCCUUUAUUUCCAUAGGCUUUG